RNAcentral lists this long non-coding RNA (310 nucleotides) under Ictidomys tridecemlineatus (thirteen-lined ground squirrel). RNAcentral's name for it is "lncRNA (ENSSTOG00000031103.1)". The record is from RNAcentral. Lineage: Eukaryota; Metazoa; Chordata; Mammalia; Rodentia; Sciuridae.
CCAUCUCUGGAAGUGCCAUAGAGCGCUGCAUUUGGGAACUUCAUCUGCAUUCUGGAACUUUCUAUGUGCAUCCUGUAACUCCCUGCAGCCGAAAACCCUUUGCAUCCUGGGAACUCUCUGCAUCCGGGACCUCUUUCUUGGCAGUGAAGGGACAUUUCCUCAAGUAGCCCAAGUUGCCUGCUGCCCAGUGUGUGGGUUGUUAAAACAGUCAUUGCCUGCAUUCUGUCUAGUUUCCUCAAGAGGCCUGUGGUCCCUCUGUUCCCAUCAGGUUGGGAAACACAGCUCUCAUCUGUUUACUUGGCUCCUGUAA